AUUGAACGCUGGCGGCAUGCCUAACACAUGCAAGUCGCACGCGAAAGGGGGCAACCCUGAGUAGAGUGGCGGGCGGGGGAGUAACGCGUAGGAAUCUACCUGGUAGUGGGGGACAACCCGGGGAAAAACGGGCUAAUACCGCAUAAGAACCACGGAUGAAAGCAGGGGACCGGAAGGCCCUUCGCUAUCAGAUGAGCCCGAGUCGGAUUAGUUAGUUGGUGGGGUAAAGGCCCACCAAGGCGACGAUCCGUAGCUGGUUUGAGAGAACGACCAGCCACACUGGGACUGAGACACGGCCCAGACUCCUACGGGAGGCAGCAGUGGGGAAUAUUGGACAAUGGGGGCAACCCUGAUCCAGCAAUGCCGCGUGUGUGAAGAAGGCCUUCGGGUUGUAAAGCACUUUCGGUGGGGACAAACAAGGUGGAGCUAACAUCUCCGCCUCUGAUGGUACCCAAAGAAGAAGCACCGGCUAACUCUGUGCCAGCCGCCGCCGUAA
Molecule: ribosomal RNA, 496 nt
Filed under: uncultured bacterium
Lineage: Bacteria
Description: partial 16S ribosomal RNA
Rfam family: Bacterial small subunit ribosomal RNA
Source: RNAcentral